This 468-nucleotide ribosomal RNA is filed under the name uncultured bacterium. RNAcentral's name for it is "partial 16S ribosomal RNA". It matches the Rfam family "Bacterial small subunit ribosomal RNA", at positions 28 to 507 of the family's 1533-position model. The record is from RNAcentral.
GACGAACGCUGGCGGCGUGCUUAACACAUGCAAGUCGAACGGAAAGGCCCUGCUUUUGUGGGGUGCGCGAGUGGCGAACGGGUGAGUAACACGUGAGUACCCUGCACUUGACUUUGGGAUAACUUAAGGAAAGUGGGGCUAAUACCGGAUAGGAGCUCUUGCUGCAUGGUGGGGGUUGGAAGGUUUCGGCGGUUGGGGAUGGACUAGCGGCUUAUCAGCUUGUUGGUGGGGUAGUGGCUUACCAAGGCUUUGACGGGUAGCCGGCCUGAGCGGGUGACCGGCCACAUUGGGACUGAGAUACGGCCCAGACUCCUACGGGAGGCAGCAGUGGGGAAGAUUGCACAAUGGGCUGAAGCCUGAUGCAGCACCGCCGCGUGCGGGAUGACGGCCUUCGGGUUGUAAACCGCUUUCGCCUGUGACGAAGCGUGAGUGACGGUAAUGGGUAAAGAAGCACCGGCUAACUACGUG